UGGUCUAUAACGUGGGGAUGCACGUUUCGUGCAGUGGGGGUGAGACACCCGGAUACAUUGCGUACUACGCUGACAACUUCAACGGUUUCGGCCUCGAGGAAGAUGUCCCAGUUCAUGGGCUUCCACAACGUCGGAAGAGAAUGCUUUACGAGACAUUAGCAUGCCAAGGCAACACUGCUCCUCGCCCUGGCAUAAUGGAGAUAGUUGAGGAAGAGCAAGAAUAGAUUUGCACCGAAUGAUUGCGUCA
Long non-coding RNA from Triticum aestivum (bread wheat), 247 nucleotides. RefSeq lists it as uncharacterized. The transcript has 3 exons. The record is from RefSeq and is a predicted model, not a curated record. NCBI's taxonomy places the organism in Eukaryota, Viridiplantae, Streptophyta, Magnoliopsida, Poales, Poaceae.